GUCCACGCCGUAACGAUGGGUGCUAGGUGUGGGGUGUCGACUCCCUCCGUGCCGAAGCUAACGCAUUAAGCACCCCGCCUGGGGAGUACGGCCGCAAGGCUAAAACUCAAAGGAAUUGACGGGGCCCGCACAAGCAGCGGAGCAUGUGGUUUAAUUCGACGCAACGCGAAGAACCUUACCAAGGCUUGACAUGCACUUGAAAAAGCGUGGAAACACGCUCCCUCUUCGGAGCAAGUGCACAGGUGGUGCAUGGCUGUCGU
Molecule: ribosomal RNA, 260 nt
Filed under: uncultured bacterium
Lineage: Bacteria
Description: partial 16S ribosomal RNA
Rfam family: Bacterial small subunit ribosomal RNA
Source: RNAcentral